RNAcentral lists this ribosomal RNA (497 nucleotides) under uncultured bacterium. RNAcentral's name for it is "partial 16S ribosomal RNA". It matches the Rfam family "Bacterial small subunit ribosomal RNA", at positions 28 to 507 of the family's 1533-position model. The record is from RNAcentral.
GAUGAACGCUGGCGGCGUGCCUAAUACAUGCAAGUCGAGCGAACGGACGAGAAGCUUGCUUCUCUGAUGUUAGCGGCGGACGGGUGAGUAACACGUGGAUAACCUACCUAUAAGACUGGGAUAACUUCGGGAAACCGGAGCUAAUACCGGAUAAUAUUUUGAACCGCAUGGUUCAAAAGUGAAAGACGGUCUUGCUGUCACUUAUAGAUGGAUCCGCGCUGCAUUAGCUAGUUGGUAAGGUAACGGCUUACCAAGGCAACGAUGCAUAGCCGACCUGAGAGGGUGAUCGGCCGCACUGGAACUGAGACACGGUCCAGACUCCUACGGGAGGCAGCAGUAGGGAAUCUUCCGCAAUGGGCGAAAGCCUGACGGAGCAACGCCGCGUGAGUGAUGAAGGUCUUCGGAUCGUAAAACUCUGUUAUUAGGGAAGAACAUAUGUGUAAGUAACUGUGCACAUCUUGACGGUACCUAAUCAGAAAGCCACGGCUAACUACGUG